This 1791-nucleotide ribosomal RNA is filed under the name Vibrio vulnificus. RNAcentral's name for it is "partial 23S ribosomal RNA". It matches the Rfam family "Bacterial large subunit ribosomal RNA", at positions 390 to 2171 of the family's 2925-position model. The record is from RNAcentral. Lineage: Bacteria; Pseudomonadati; Pseudomonadota; Gammaproteobacteria; Vibrionales; Vibrionaceae.
GAUGCAUGUUCAGUGAAAUCGAGUAGGGCGGGACACGUGUUAUCCUGUCUGAAUAUGGGGGGACCAUCCUCCAAGGCUAAAUACUCCUGACUGACCGAUAGUGAACCAGUACCGUGAGGGAAAGGCGAAAAGAACCCCUGUGAGGGGAGUGAAAUAGAACCUGAAACCGUGUACGUACAAGCAGUAGGAGCACCUUCGUGGUGUGACUGCGUACCUUUUGUAUAAUGGGUCAGCGACUUAUAUUCAGUGGCAAGGUUAACCAUCUAGGGGAGCCGUAGGGAAACCGAGUCUUAACUGGGCGCCAUAGUCUCUGGAUAUAGACCCGAAACCGAGUGAUCUAGCCAUGGGCAGGUUGAAGGUUGAGUAACAUCAACUGGAGGACCGAACCGACUAAUGUUGAAAAAUUAGCGGAUGACUUGUGGCUAGGGGUGAAAGGCCAAUCAAACUCGGAGAUAGCUGGUUCUCCCCGAAAGCUAUUUAGGUAGCGCCUCGGACGAAUACUACUGGGGGUAGAGCACUGUUAAGGCUAGGGGGUCAUCCCGACUUACCAACCCUUUGCAAACUCCGAAUACCAGUAAGUACUAUCCGGGAGACACACGGCGGGUGCUAACGUCCGUCGUGGAGAGGGAAACAACCCAGACCGCCAGCUAAGGUCCCAAAUUACAGCUAAGUGGGAAACGAUGUGGGAAGGCUUAGACAGCUAGGAUGUUGGCUUAGAAGCAGCCAUCAUUUAAAGAAAGCGUAAUAGCUCACUAGUCGAGUCGGCCUGCGCGGAAGAUGUAACGGGGCUAAGUUGUAAACCGAAGCUGCGGCAAUGUUCUUUGAACAUUGGGUAGGGGAGCGUUCUGUAAGCCGUUGAAGGUGUGUUGUAAAGCAUGCUGGAGGUAUCAGAAGUGCGAAUGCUGACAUGAGUAACGACAAGGGGGGUGAAAAACCUCCCCGCCGGAAGACCAAGGGUUCCUGUCCAACGUUAAUCGGGGCAGGGUAAGUCGACCCCUAAGGCGAGGCCGAAAGGCGUAGUCGAUGGGAAACGGGUUAAUAUUCCCGUACUUCUUACAAUUGCGAUGGGGGGACGGAGAAGGCUAGGUGGGCCUGGCGACGGUUGUCCAGGUUCAAGUGCGUAGGCUGAGUGUUUAGGUAAAUCCGGAUACUCUUAAGGCUGAGACACGACGUCGAGCUACUACGGUAGUGAAGUCAUUGAUGCCAUGCUUCCAGGAAAAGCCUCUAAGCUUCAGAUUGUAAGGAAUCGUACCCCAAACCGACACAGGUGGUCGGGUAGAGAAUACCAAGGCGCUUGAGAGAACUCGGGUGAAGGAACUAGGCAAAAUGGUACCGUAACUUCGGGAGAAGGUACGCUCUUGAUGGUGAAGUCCCUUGCGGAUGGAGCUGACGAGAGUCGCAGAUACCAGGUGGCUGCAACUGUUUAUUAAAAACACAGCACUGUGCAAAAUCGUAAGAUGACGUAUACGGUGUGACGCCUGCCCGGUGCCGGAAGGUUAAUUGAUGGGGUUAGCGUAAGCGAAGCUCUUGAUCGAAGCCCCGGUAAACGGCGGCCGUAACUAUAACGGUCCUAAGGUAGCGAAAUUCCUUGUCGGGUAAGUUCCGACCUGCACGAAUGGCGUAAUGAUGGCCACGCUGUCUCCACCCGAGACUCAGUGAAAUUGAAAUCGCUGUGAAGAUGCAGUGUACCCGCGGCUAGACGGAAAGACCCCGUGAACCUUUACUACAGCUUGGCACUGAACAUUGAACCUACAUGUGUAGGAUAGGUGGGAGGCUUUGAAGACGUGACGC